CAAAAGAACCAAUCUUAAAAGUGCCACUUUUAAGAUCAAUUCUUUUGUAACCGAUCUUAAAAGUACUACUUUUAAAAUCGGUUCUUUCG
Molecule: microRNA precursor, 89 nt
Filed under: Cajanus cajan (pigeon pea)
Lineage: Eukaryota; Viridiplantae; Streptophyta; Magnoliopsida; Fabales; Fabaceae
Description: miRNA gene-KK1_031758
Source: RNAcentral